AGCACUGCAAACAGAAGAUAACGAAUGUUGAUUUAACCACUGCGACAGAGUAGGCAGCAAAUGACACAAGCUGGACUCGACAGCCAGGCCAUCCUCUGAGAAGGGACGAGACGAUUACUCAGACACUCUGAGCCUCUCAGGAGACAAAGAGCUGAGGAUGAUCGGAUUGAAACAUGGUUGAGAAGGACUGCCACACUUGCAAGAUCAGGUGUUAUUUAUUUAUUUGACACACAGAGAGUGAUAGCGAAGAGGAAACACAAGCCGGGGAAGUGAUAGAGGGAGAAGCAGGCCUCCCACUGAACAGGGAGCCCGAUGCAGGGCUCGAGUCCAGGAGCUUGGAAUCAUGACCUGAGCUGAAGGCAGAUGCUUAAUGACUGAGCCACCCAGGUGCCCCCUCUUACUGCUUUCUUGUGCUCCCCAGCAGUCAGCAGGACCACAUCAUCCUCUCGGAUUUCCAUUAGUCUGAUUAGUCCCGAUCUUUGCUCCUCCAGUAUGGACUGAGCAACUGGAGAAUUCCAGUUUCUAUUGGCUUCUGGGAAUACAGAAAAUUUCUUGCUCCCAGCAGGACAUGAGAUGAUCUUCACUCCCUCCCUCAACCCCUUCAAAAUGACACUAGAGGAAUUACAGAUGUCAUCACCAUAAUCAGAAACAAAAGGGAAUAAAAGGUGGGGAGACACUGGCAAAGAGGUUUCUGCAAAUCUGUGGCAGGCUGCAAAUGAACGGAAUAGGAACAAUUAUAGCAGCAAGAAGCAGGGAGCUCUGGCCUGGAGAAAAUGGAGUCGUCUCAGCACAGAAGGGAUGAAUUUUAUCCUGCAGAAGCCCAGAGGGUAGGCUCAGGACUCCGAUGAAACUUUGGAUUCUCAGGUUAGGGGCCAGUGGCUCUGCUGUUCCCCCUAAACUGAACAUACCCAUUCACAAAGCCCCUCCAAGGACCCUGUAUUCCUAACCACCUAAAAAAAAUUUUUUUUUCCUUUAAGUAAGCUCUACACCCAAUGUGGAGCUUGUACUCAGGAACCCUGAGAUCAACAGAUUAAGAGAGAUCAAGAGUUGAAUGCUCUACCAAGUGAACCAGCCAGCUUUUUAAAUCUGGAAGGUGCUGCCAUUCUGGAAGGUGGAGGGAGGACGUUCUGGGAGGUGGGGGGAGGACAUUCCGGGAAGUAGGGGAGGACGGGUGAAACAGGUGAUGGGGGUAAAGGCGUGCACGUGUGACGAGCACUGGGUAUUGUAAGGAAAUGCCAACUCAUUAAAUUGUAAACCUGAAACUAUUAUUAUAUACUGUAUGCUAACUGACUGGAAAUCAAGAAAGAACUUAAAAAAAACCCCAAAACCCACUCAUUCUAAAUAUAUACAAUCAACAGUCACCAUACAUUAAAGAAAUGCUGCAGUAUUUAAAAAAAAAAAGGACGCAAGAGGAAAGAGGUAGUUUAGUUUAGGGACUGAAUCCUCAAAGGCCCUCAAAAAUAUAUUCUAUCAAUAAAACUAGAAUAAAAUAUGGAAGAAAAAAAAAGAAACAGCUACUGGGACUGAAACAUGAUUGCUAAAAUGAAUCCAACAGAAGAGUUGAAGAAAUCUCUCAGAAUAAAAAGGAAAUGGUGGGAAAGAACACAGGGAAAAAAAAAGAGAGAGACAUACUAGUUAAGUUACAAGAGGAGGUCCAAAUAUGGCUAAAAGAAAUUCCAAAAAAAAGAGACUAGAGGGAAUGAUGAAGUCAAAGCAAUCAGUAAUAGAACAAUUUUCCACAAAUGAAAGACAUGAGCCAUCAAUAUUGAAACAGCCCUUAUAGGGUACAACACAUGAAUGCAAAACGAUCCAAAGGUAUGCAAAUUGAAAUUCUGGAACAUUAAAGAUCAGGAGGCUGAAUGCUUCCAAAGGAAAACAAGCAGCUUUGCUGUGAAGGAACAUAUUCGUGUCAGCAUCAGGCUUCUCAUCAGUAAUAGCAGGUACAACAGAAAAAAAGCAAUGUUUUCGGCAAGCUAAGGCUGUGCUGCCUAAUACAGUAGCCACCACUCACACAUACCUAUUUAACUGAAAUGAAAUAAAAUAAAAAAUUCACCUCCUCAGGUAAUCUAGCUUCAUUUCAAGCACUGGAUGGCUGCCCUGGCUAGGGGCUACCAUAUAGGAUGACGCAGAAGCAAAAUAUUUCCACCAACAAGGAAGGUUCUGUUGGACAGAGUGAGGGCUCUUGUGAAAGAGAAAGUGGGGGUAAGGGCAGAGGAAAGAAACUUCAAACCUACUCCCCAUUAAGUGUGGAGCCCGAUGCAGGAAUCGAUCCUAUGACCCAGGAGAUCAUGACCUGAGCAGAAACCAAGAGUUGGAGGCUCAAAUAACUGAGCUUCUCAGGUGCCCUGGGCAGCACUGUUCUAAAGGGAUGUGACUGCAAUUCUGAAUUUUAUACUAAGCCAAAUUAGUCAUCAAGAGUGAGGUUUUCAACAUAAAGACAUUUUUAGGCAAAGCAAGUGUAUCUCUUGUGUGCUUUCUUAGGAAGUUACUUGAGGAUCUACUCCAACACAAAUAAGAAAGAGGAAGAUCUGGGAUCCAGGGAGAGUGGCUUCAACUCAAAAGAGAAAUGAAGGAAAGGUCCACAAAGACGGCUGUGCAGGAGGUACACAAUAACUAGGUGAGCCCUGUGUGUGGAAGCUUUGUCGCUUAUGCAGAAGUUAACAGAUCAAGUUUAAAAUGGAUAAGUAAAAACAAACAUAAACAAACAAAAACACCAGUAUGCAGAUAUAUUUCUAAAAAACGGAGACAUUCUGGCUGGUGUGGAACUGGAGAGAUGUGAGCUAGAACACACACUUAUGCAUCUCAUUAAUCCUUUACUACUUGUGUGUGUGUGUGUUUGUUUUUGAAGAUUGUACUUAUUUGUCAGAGAGAAGGCGAGAGCAUGUGCAAAAGCGGGCAGAGUGGCAGGCAGAGGGAGAAGCAGGCUCCCCGGACAGCAAGGAUCCCAGGACCCUGGGAUCAUAACCUGAGCCAAAGGCAGACACUUAAUGGACUAAGUCACCCAGGCAUCCUACUACUUGUGUUUUGAACUCUGUGCAUGUGAUAUAUUGCUAAAAAUUCAGACACAUAUUUAAAAAAAAAAUCAAGUAAAAAUAAUACAUUAAAAAAACAGAAGUGUUACCCAUUUCUUCUAUAAAAAUCAGUUAAUGAGAAAUGGCAAAAAGAGGAAAAAAAAGAACAUAUAGUAAGAAUUUCAUGAACUGGGGCGCCUGGGUGGCUCAGUGGGUUAAGCCGCUGCCUUCAGCUCAGGUCAUGAUCCCAGGGUCCUGGGAUCGAGCGCCGCAUCGGGCUCUCUGCUCAGCAGGGAGCCUGCUUCUCUCUCUCUCUGCCUGCCUCUCAGUCUGCUUGUGAUCUCUCUCUGUAAAAUGAAUAAAUAAAAAAAUCUUAAAAAAAAAAAAAAAGAAUUCAUGAACUGAAGGUUACUGAAGUUUACCUUCUGGCUUAUUUCCCAGUCCUGUCAUUCCUAAGUGCAGACUUCAAAUACCAGCAAAAUAAAAGUAAAGAAACAAAAUUGGAAGAUCUAGAGUUGCCACUUCUGAAUUUUAUCAAAGGCAUAAAACAAACUUAAAACAUUAUCUGCUAUUAGCAUCAUUUCAUAAAAGAAUAUACAUUUUUACAAUAAAGAACAAGGAGAAGUAGAGGAUAAUUCUUUAAAUUCAUUUAUGAAAAGCUUUUUAUAUUGCUCUGACUUUUCUCACUUUGCCUUGACCCAUUUUGGAAACCAUUAUCUUAAUCUUUCUUUCUUUCUUGUUGAAAAUCCCUUUGAGCCUGAGGUAUGAUGCUUGGUUGUGGUGGUGGUAGAGGUGGGUGGUCCAUUUUCAAUACACAAAUACUGUGUUUUUACAUGGUUAUGAUCAGAGUUUAUAUAAAAUUCUGUAUUUUCCUUUUCUUACAAAUCAUUACAAUAUGAACAUAUUCCCCAUACUACAAACUUUUUGGAGACAAAGUCUUAAAAAAGGAACUUUAAUCAUAUCAACUCCUUUGAUUAUACCUUAAUUUAAUUAUUCCCAUAUAAUUUCAUCUUACUCCUAUUGUAAAGGAUACUAUAAUAAGCAUACUCUCUUCAGAUUUAGAAUGUAUUCUACAAAGUAUGUCACAGAAAAUUAAUGACUCAGAGGGCAUGACUAUUUUUAAAGUUACUGGUUCUGAGAAGGCUGAGACAAUUUCCAGGUCCAGUGACGAGAUAAGAAAGGCCCGUUUGCCACGCCCACUCCUCGGUAGUUCAGUUCCUCCACUCACCAAGCCAACAACACAAAAUGUGUCUGUCAGAGGUGGAUUCAGAAUUUUAAAAAUUCUGAAUUUUAAAAUUUUAAAUUAGAAAAAAAUUUUUUUUAAUUUAAAAAAUUUUAAAAAGGGUACAGGAAGAACAAUGAAUACAGGCUUCCUUCAAACCUUGGGCAAAUGGGGCUCUAAUCUAAUCCUAACUGGAUUAAAACUCCACACUUCUUUUAUUUAUUUUUUAAAAUAUUUUUACUUAUUGAGAGAGAGAAUGACAGAGUGUGAGAGCGAGAGAGAGCACCAGUGGAUGGAGAAGCAGAGGGAGAAGCAGAAUCCCCUCUGACCAGGGAGCCUGACGUGAGGCCUGAUCACGACCUGAGCUGAAGGCAGAUGCUUAACAGUUUAACCAACUAAGCCACCUAGGUGCCCCUCCACAUUUAUUUUAAAAACUAUGGUUGAGGGAUGCCUGGGUGGCUCAGUAGGUUAAGCUGCUGCCUUUGUCUCGGGUCAUGAUCCCAGGGUCCUAGGAUCAAGUCCCGAAUCGGGUUCCUUGAUCAGCAGGGAGCCUGCUUCUUUCUCCGCUCUGCCUGCCACCCUACUUGCCUGUGUGCUCGCACUCUCUCUCUCUCUCUGUCAAAUAAAUAAACAAAUACAAUCUUAAAACAAAAACAAAAAACUAUGGUUGAAUUUUCACAUUCUGAUCAAUGGUGAAUUCAACUGUCUAAGUAAAAAUCUUAGUCUUGUCCUGGGAUUAGAUGAACCUUAAAAGAAGAAAAGUAGAAGAAUGGUCUGACAUAGUAAGAACUCAAAAUUAGAGAUUAUAUAAAGAGCUCAAACACUUAUUAAAAAUAUGGAAUCCCUAAUAGGGAAAAAACAACUAUUGUAAUUAAUUCCUUACCUGAUUAAAAUGGUCAGCUGCAAAUUUUCUAAUAGAGUCAAUGUCCUUCCUUUUUAAGUAUUUCUGAAAAGACAGUAAACUCAGCUUCAUAAACAUGUCUACAGUAUCAAAUGGGCUACAAAUAUAUUUUGUGUCCACCACAAAAGGAUUUAAUAUAAAAUUUAAUUUCUGCUUCCAAAGGACAACAUUUUAGAGCUUGUACAAGGCUUAUUGCCCCCCCCCCCCCCCCAUGCAGGAAUCAUUGGCAACGGCUGGAAACAUGCUCCACAGAAAAGCCUGCCUAUGGAAUACGCAGGGUUCAUGUUCAAAUCUUUACAACUGAAUUGUGUAAGAAAAAAAUCAUUUUCAGAUCAGAAAGAGGACUCAGAAUUUGCUUAUUUUAGGUCACUUAAAAUUCUUUGUAUCUUACCUUUUUAAAGUUAUCUCAAUGCCUUUGUAACUGAAACACUAGGACUAUCAUCGUAACUAAUAUUCUUGGGGCACUAGACAAGGGAUGGGAGAUACGGAAAGGCAGACAUGAUUAACACUGCCGCACUUCUUAUAAUUGGCUUGGGGAAGACUGGACAUACUCAAAUUGAGGCAAAUAAUACCAUGCAGUAUAUGUUAAACUGAGCUUACCUGAACGUUUUCAUUAUGUCUGGACUAGAGUAUGGACACAAAUUACUUUCCACUAACUAUACGAAGUGAAUAAAAAGUAAUGAGACUGAAUUCCUAUUCCCACUUUGAAUACACUAAUAUGCUCAAGAACACAAAGGAGUCAUCUUUCAAAGAGUAAUUUUAUCCAAAGUACUUCCAGAACCCCUCUUCUCACAUCCUGUUCAAAGCAGGUGUGCUAACCAUGGAAAACAGACGUGUCUCACCUCGGAGUCGGGGUCUGCCUAGCGCAGCCAUUCUUUCUCCUGCCCUCACCUCCCCUUGCUUUGGCUUUUCACAUUUCUACCUCCUCGCCCUCCUGCUGUUAUUAAUGCACCUGAAUGCAACCGAGACCAGAGCCCUCGGAAGGCCCAGAACCAACAUGCAAGGGCGAUCCUGGAGCUGAUAUGGUCUGGGAGCCUUUGGGUAAACUGAGGCUGGAA
Long non-coding RNA from Mustela lutreola (European mink), 6192 nucleotides. RefSeq lists it as uncharacterized. The transcript has 3 exons. The record is from RefSeq and is a predicted model, not a curated record. Lineage: Eukaryota; Metazoa; Chordata; Mammalia; Carnivora; Mustelidae.